Molecule: ribosomal RNA, 492 nt
Filed under: uncultured bacterium
Lineage: Bacteria
Description: partial 16S ribosomal RNA
Rfam family: Bacterial small subunit ribosomal RNA
Source: RNAcentral
AGUGAACGCUGGCGGUAGGCCUAACACAUGCAAGUCGAAUGGCAGCACAGUAAGAGCUUGCUCUUACGGGUGGCGAGUGGCGGACGGGUGAGGAAUACAUCGGAAUCUACUUUUUCGUGGGGGAUAACGUAGGGAAACUUACGCUAAUACCGCAUACGACCUACGGGUGAAAGCAGGGGAUCUUCGGACCUUGCGCGAUUGAAUGAGCCGAUGUCGGAUUAGCUAGUUGGCGGGGUAAAGGCCCACCAAGGCGACGAUCCGUAGCUGGUCUGAGAGGAUGAUCAGCCUCACUGGAACUGAGACACGGUCCAGACUCCUACGGGAGGCAGCAGUGGGGAAUAUUGGACAAAGGGCGCAAGCCUGAUCCAGCCAUACCGCGUGGGUGAAGAAGGCCUUCGGGUUGUAAAGCCCUUUUGUUGGGAAAGAAAAGCAGCAGGUUAAUACCCCGCUGUUCUGACGGUACCCAAAGAAUAAGCACCGGCUAACUUCGUG